GGGAUCAACUGUUUGAAGUUCUGGGAAAGCAAGAUGACUAUUCCUCUUCACAUCAGCUUAUAAAACUUCCUUCCAGGACCUCUGCACUUGCGGGGAGAGAAAGGGUCCAGAAGGACCUUCAGCCUUCUCAUAGUGCCUUUGCUGAAGGAUUGGAGGUUACAGUACUGUGAUUGAACAAUUCUAUGUGUCUCUUAGUGCUCAUCAAGGUUGGUCCUUCAUGUCAUCCAAUGGGAUGUUAAGGAUGGUGAUGACCAGUGGUGGUGAUGGAUUGAUGAAUUGGAGCAAAUCGAUAAUUAAUCUGCUUCUCAUCUAGGCCAAAACAGUCAACGGAAAGGAGAGUUUGUGGGUCAACUGAGUUCAUGGAGAUGAGAGAUUAGCCAUACCUCUUUAGAUCUGUCAAGGCUACACCUCAUUCCUGUUCUGCUGUUUGUCGUUCAGUGUGCCUCCUUGAUGGGGAGCAAGCCAUCCCUCUGUGAACUGUGAUGUGAUUAAUAGUCUCUAUUCCUUGCUAUGCCCUCGAUGUCUCUGGUAACAUUGGA
Long non-coding RNA from Suricata suricatta (meerkat), 539 nucleotides. RefSeq lists it as uncharacterized. The transcript is spliced from 3 exons. NCBI's taxonomy places the organism in Eukaryota, Metazoa, Chordata, Mammalia, Carnivora, Herpestidae. The record is from RefSeq and is a predicted model, not a curated record.